AUCCAGCUGACUAGUCCCAAAUAUGACGAGACGUGCGUCCUGGAU
This is a non-coding RNA of Schistosoma rodhaini, 45 nucleotides long. NCBI's taxonomy places the organism in Eukaryota, Metazoa, Platyhelminthes, Trematoda, Strigeidida, Schistosomatidae. The record is from Rfam.